RNAcentral lists this ribosomal RNA (303 nucleotides) under uncultured bacterium. Its description in RNAcentral is "partial 16S ribosomal RNA". It matches the Rfam family "Bacterial small subunit ribosomal RNA", at positions 507 to 807 of the family's 1533-position model. The record is from RNAcentral.
AGCAGUCGCCGCGGGAAUACAAAGGGUGCAAGCGUUACUCGGAAUUACUGGGCGUAAAGCGUGCGUAGGUGGUGGUUUAAGUCCGUUGUGAAAGCCCUGGGCUCAACCUGGGAAUUGCAGUGGAUACUGGGUCACUAGAGUGUGGUAGAGGAUAGUGGAAUUUCCGGUGUAGCAGUGAAAUGCGUAGAGAUCGGAAGGAACAUCUGUGGCGAAGGCGACUAUCUGGGCCAACACUGACACUGAGGCACGAAAGCGUGGGGAGCAAACAGGAUUAGAUACCCGUGUAGUCCCUGUCUCUUAUAC